GGGGAUUUGGCUCAGUGGUAGAGCACUUGCCUAGCAAGCACAAGACCCUGGGUUCAAUCCCCAGCUCCG
This 69-nucleotide transfer RNA is filed under the name Rattus norvegicus (Norway rat). It matches the Rfam family "tRNA". Rfam says of the family: Transfer RNA (tRNA) molecules are approximately 80 nucleotides in length. Their secondary structure includes four short double-helical elements and three loops (D, anti-codon, and T loops). The record is from Rfam by way of RNAcentral. Lineage: Eukaryota; Metazoa; Chordata; Mammalia; Rodentia; Muridae.